UGGCGGACGGGUGAGUAACGCGUAAAGAACUUGCCCUUUAGACUGGGAUAACAGAGGGAAACUUCUGAUAAUACUGGAUAAGUUAGUAUAUCGCAUGAUAUGCAAAUGAAAGCUACGGCACUAAAGGAGAGCUUUGCGUCCUAUUAGCUAGUUGGUAAGGUAAGAGCUUACCAAGGCGAUGAUAGGUAGCCGGCCUGAGAGGGUGGACGGCCACAAGGGGACUGAGAUACGGCCCUUACUCCUACGGGAGGCAGCAGUA
RNAcentral lists this ribosomal RNA (259 nucleotides) under uncultured Leptotrichia sp. Its description in RNAcentral is "partial 16S ribosomal RNA". It matches the Rfam family "Bacterial small subunit ribosomal RNA", at positions 96 to 355 of the family's 1533-position model. Lineage: Bacteria; Fusobacteriati; Fusobacteriota; Fusobacteriia; Fusobacteriales; Leptotrichiaceae. The record is from RNAcentral.